This is a long non-coding RNA of Vidua macroura (Pin-tailed whydah), 348 nucleotides long. RefSeq lists it as uncharacterized. The transcript is spliced from 3 exons. The record is from RefSeq and is a predicted model, not a curated record. NCBI's taxonomy places the organism in Eukaryota, Metazoa, Chordata, Aves, Passeriformes, Viduidae.
AGGAGGAGUCGAUGGACAGAACCUUGGGAGGGGCCAAAGGGUUAAAAGGCACCCUUUUCCUAUGAACACCUGAGUCUCCUCCACCUCUCAGAGGAUGCACCUGUAGCAGCUUUCCCACAGAGGGCUCAUCCAGUGAUCCCAUCCAGGUGUUCACAGCGAUUUUCUGGUCCCAGCAGCCGUGGUUUGCAGGGUGAGGGUGGAGCUGGCAGCUCCUGCUGCCGUGAUUUCCCUCCUGGAAAAUCCAGCAGCUGAAAAUGUCAAAUAUUGAGAAACAGAAGCUGCUGCUGGGUCUCUCCCCUCGAACAUGACCAGCAGUUCCCAAAUCCCACCUCCCCUGCAGCUCUGCCU